Long non-coding RNA from Octodon degus (degu), 561 nucleotides. RefSeq lists it as uncharacterized. The record is from RefSeq and is a predicted model, not a curated record. The transcript has 4 exons. NCBI's taxonomy places the organism in Eukaryota, Metazoa, Chordata, Mammalia, Rodentia, Octodontidae.
AAGUACUCAGGAAAUGUUCCCUGAGUACAGCCACCACCACCCAGAAAAUCGGCUACUCACACAUUGAGUCCUACAUUGAUGUCAACAAGAGCAUUCACAAUUUCAAUGAAGUCAGUGUUUAAUUUUAUGAAAAUUACUGUGAACAUGCAGAGCCAAGAGUUACUGGUUAAAAGUGCUGCUCCCAAAGCUGUUAAUAGAAAAGUUAUUGUAUAGCUGGUGCUGGUUCAUUCAGUUUAUCUGAUGGCUUUGCUAUGAUUUUUGAAUACAGAUAUGCCAAUAAAAAUUUUAAAACCAUGAUGGCCAGGGACGAUCAGUUUAAAUGAUUCUACUGUCAAUUUUGUAUAAAACUAUUUCAGCAAGCAGUCCUUGCAAUGCUUUUUGAAACUAUUAAUUUUUUUAAAAAUGCAAAAGGGACAAAAGAGGUUUAUUUGAUUCUUAUUAACAAAAUUUCAAAUGAAAUAUUGCAUUAUUAUUGUGCUGCCCUUAGUUUUACUGGAAUGAAAUUAUUAUAGGUCAAUGUCAGUUUUUUGUUUGGGUUUGGUGCUGGGGAACAAAUCCAGG